RNAcentral lists this ribosomal RNA (254 nucleotides) under uncultured bacterium. RNAcentral describes it as "partial 16S ribosomal RNA". It matches the Rfam family "Bacterial small subunit ribosomal RNA", at positions 524 to 776 of the family's 1533-position model. The record is from RNAcentral.
GACGUAGGGGGCAAGCGUUGUCCGGAUUUAUUGGGCGUAAAGGGCUCGUAGGCGGCUUGGCAAGUCGGGUGUGAAACCUCCAGGCUCAACCUGGAGACGCCACCCGAUACUGCUAUGGCUAGAGUCCGGUAGGGGACCACGGAAUUCCUGGUGUAGCGGUGAAAUGCGCAGAUAUCAGGAGGAACACCAGUAGCGAAGGCGGUGGUCUGGGCCGGUACUGACGCUGAGGAGCGAAAGCGUGGGGAGCAAACAGG